This 497-nucleotide ribosomal RNA is filed under the name uncultured bacterium. RNAcentral describes it as "partial 16S ribosomal RNA". It matches the Rfam family "Bacterial small subunit ribosomal RNA", at positions 28 to 507 of the family's 1533-position model. The record is from RNAcentral.
GAUGAACGCUGGCGGCGUGCCUAAUACAUGCAAGUCGAGCGAACGGACGAGAAGCUUGCUUCUCUGAUGUUAGCGGCGGACGGGUGAGUAACACGUGGAUAACCUACCUAUAAGACUGGGAUAACUUCGGGAAACCGGAGCUAAUACCGGAUAAUAUUUUGAACCGCAUGGUUCAAAAGUGAAAGGCGGUCUUGCUGUCACUUAUAGAUGGAUCCGCGCUUCAUUAGCUAGUUGGUAAGGUAACGGCUUACCAAGGCAACGAUGCAUAGCCGACCUGAGAGGGUGAUCGGCCACACUGGAACUGAGACACGGUCCAGACACCUACGGGAGGCAGCAGUAGGGAAUCUUCCGCAAUGGGCGAAAGCCUGACGGAGCAACGCCGCGUGAGUGAUGAAGGUCUUCGGAUCGUAAAACUCUGUUAUUAGGGAAGAACAUAUGUGUAAGUAACUGUGCACAUCUUGACGGUACCUAAUCAGAAAGCCACGGCUAACUACGUG